UUUAUACAACAAGCCCACCUUAAAUAUCAAAGAAUUGUGGAUAUACACACUGAAGUUUUUCAACUAUGUAUAAUAAAGUUCACACAAAAUAACUUCCACCAGCCCUUUCUUUGACACAUUGUAACAAAUAAAUAAAACAAUCUAAAAAUGGCUAACAACCCCACCCCCACCCCCCUUUUCCUCCAUCACAUCACCCUGAAAGUAGAAAGAAAAGACAACUCUUCUGUAGAAUAUGUCAAAAUGGAAGAUAUUGCAUCUCCAUGGAAAACUUUGACACCUGGCAAAAAAAUAAAAUGACGCAAACCUGGACGCGAUCAGCCUAAUUAGCUGCUCUUCCACCAUGGAUGUGUCUGAUGAAUAAGAUAAUAUUCAAUAUUACAGGAACACAAUAUAUAAAACUUGCUCUUCUCAAAGGCUCUUUACAUGUCAGCUCUGAGGUGCAAUAGUUGCAAGAGCAUUAGCAUGUGCAGGUGAAAGAUUACUCAGAAGAGGCUGCAUUUGAUGACCAUAAAUCGAAAUUAGGUGAGAAAAUGCUUUUCCAACAUGAGCCUUGACUUCAGGGGUUUCAACAGGUGACAUGGCAACCUGGGCAAAAACAUUUACCAACUCCGGAACCAAAGAUAAGAUCUGAGAGUUAGAUGACAACACAAGAUUGCAUAUGCAACUGUAGACUGCCAUGGAUUCUUCAUGAUCUUCUUUUAGAGGAAGAACUUUCAAGAAAACAGGUAGCACCUGAUUCAGUGGGAUUGUCUCUGGAUGAACCAUUAUCAUCCUUGCCACCGCACCAGCAGCAUUGUCUCUCACUGCAUUAUCUGGCUCAGCUUCGCCAAACAAUGGGUAAAGGCCACGUAAGGCAUCUCCAUAAUAUUUCAAAGCAGCAUCACCACCAUUUUUGCACAACUCGCCAACACAAAAUGCUGCGUUCCUUCGGUUUGUAGCAUCCGCUGAAGCUAAUUCUUUAAGUACCAGGGACAUCACAGUAUCAAUAUAGCCACCAAUGGGAGCACCCAUGUGUUGAGCAACUUCUGCAAGGGUUGCAACGACCAUGGUCCGAUCUUGAGAUGGGCGCGAUGCUUUAGCAAAUUUCAUCAAAGGUUCAAACAGCUUUGAAAAGAUUGGAGCAAAAUGAGAACCCAUGGCCUUCGCGAAUGCAGGGAGGAGAUCAGAAACAGCAUCCAUUAGCACUUCGUCAUGUUCAGUGUCAUCAUCAUCAACUUCACUAUCUGAUUCUACGAGCUGACAUGCAGACUGCUCUCGUAACAGAACUACAGUUGCCUCAACAAGCUGAGUGAUAUAGGGCUCAACAGCCAUGUAACCAAAAUCCUUCACGAUGUCAGCAACAGCCAUACAAGCUUGCGCAACAACUUCUUUGUCAUCAUCUUCAAUCAUUG
Molecule: unclassified non-coding RNA, 1391 nt
Filed under: Hevea brasiliensis (rubber tree)
Lineage: Eukaryota; Viridiplantae; Streptophyta; Magnoliopsida; Malpighiales; Euphorbiaceae
Source: RNAcentral